Molecule: ribosomal RNA, 1209 nt
Filed under: Coxiella endosymbiont of Ixodes sp.
Lineage: Bacteria; Pseudomonadati; Pseudomonadota; Gammaproteobacteria; Legionellales; Coxiellaceae
Description: bacterial SSU rRNA
Rfam family: Bacterial small subunit ribosomal RNA
Source: RNAcentral
GGCCUCGCGCUAUAAGAUGAGCCUAUGUCGGAUUAGUUUGUUGGUGGGGUAAUGGCCUACCAAGGCGACGAUCCGUAGCUGGUCUGAGAGGACGAUCAGCCACACUGGGACUGAGACACGGCCCAGACUCCUACGGGAGGCAGCAGUGGGGAAUCUUGGACAAUGGGGGAAACCCUGAUCCAGCAAUGCCGCGUGUGUGAAGAAGGCCUUCGGGUUGUAAAGCACUUUCAGUAGGGAAGAAAUUCUCAAGGGUAAUAUCCUUGAGCGUUGACGUUAACUACAGAAGAAGCACUGGCUAACUCUGUGCCAGCAGCCGCGGUAAUACAGAGAGUGCGAGCGUUAAUCGGAAUCACUGGGCGUAAAGCGCGCGUAGGUGGAUAUUUAAGUCGGAUGUGAAAACCCUGGGCUUAACCUGGGAAUUGCACCCGAUACUGGGCAUCUAGAGUAUGGUAGAGGGAAGUGGAAUUUCCGAUGUAGCGGUGAAAUGCGUAGAUAUCGGAAAGAACACCAGUGGCGAAGGCGGCUUCCUGGACUAAUACUGACACUGAGGCGCGAAAGCGUGGGGAGCAAACAGGAUUAGAGACCCUGGUAGUCCACGCCGUCAACGAUGAGAACUAACUGUUGGAGAGUUUACUUUCUAGUAGCGAAGCUAACGCGUUAAGUUCUCCGCCUGGGGAGUACGGCCGCAAGGUUAAAACUCAAAGAAAUUGACGGGGGCCCGCACAAGCGGUGGAGCAUGUGGUUUAAUUCGAUGCAACGCGAAAAACCUUACCUACCCUUGACAUCCUCGGAACUUGUCAGAAAUGACUUGGUGCCUUCGGGAACCGAGUGACAGGUGCUGCAUGGCUGUCGUCAGCUCGUGUCGUGAGAUGUUGGGUUAAGUCCCGUAACGAGCGCAACCCUCGUCCUUAGUUGCUAGCGGUUCGGCCGAGAACUCUAAGGAGACUGCCGGUGAUAAACCGGAGGAAGGUGGGGAUGAUGUCAAGUCAUCAUGGCCCUUACGGGUAGGGCUACACACGUGCUACAAUGGGCAGUACAAAGGGUUGCCAAACUGUGAGGUGGAGCUAAUCCCAGAAAACUGUUCGUAGUCCGGAUUGAAGUCUGCAACUCGACUUCAUGAAGUUGGAAUCGCUAGUAAUCGCAAAUCAGAAUGUUGCGGUGAAUACGUUCUCGGGCCUUGUACACACCGCCCGUCACACCAUGGGAGUG